RNAcentral lists this ribosomal RNA (207 nucleotides) under uncultured bacterium. RNAcentral describes it as "partial 16S ribosomal RNA". It matches the Rfam family "Bacterial small subunit ribosomal RNA", at positions 568 to 774 of the family's 1533-position model. The record is from RNAcentral.
CGCGCAGGCGGUUUUGUAAGUCAGAUGUGAAAGCCCGGGGCUCAACCCCGGAAGUGCAUUUGAAACUAUAGGGCUUGAGUAUGGGAGAGGGAAGUGGAAUUCCUGGUGUAGAGGUGAGAUUCGUAGAUAUCAGGAGGAACACCGGUGGCGAAGGCGACUUCCUGGACCAAUACUGACGCUGAGGCGCGAAGGCGUGGGGAGCAAACA